Molecule: long non-coding RNA, 430 nt
Organism: Armigeres subalbatus
Lineage: Eukaryota; Metazoa; Arthropoda; Insecta; Diptera; Culicidae
Exons: 2
Source: RefSeq, a predicted model, not a curated record
GAAGACGAAGUAAACGAAGUGUUCCUUUUAUAAUCGUCUAUCCGGUACAAAGUUAGUACGCUUUUUAUAUCGAAGUUGGAUUUUUCUCCAGAUACAGAUCCAGAUCCAGAUACAGAUUUUCUCCCAACUUCGGAAGUAGUGCGCUGGAUUCGCCUAAAGAUGCGCUAAACAGCACAUCAAUUAGUUUGACAGAUAAAAUUUCGGAAGAAAGUUCGGUUCGGAAGUCCCGACUUCCGAAUUCUAAGUUGAUGCUACGUUGACAAUACUGAUUCUGCGAGCAAGCAACGGCCGAUCAUUUCCCGCUGUACCGUGAAAUUGAAUUAAUGAUAAAACACUGCUGCAUGCCACCAUCACUGAUGAUUCAAUAUCGUUCGGCGACUAUCAUCGAGCUAUAUCACCAACGGGAUACAAUAAAAAAUUAAACAGGUAA